CAGCCUUUUCAUCCAACAGCUGCUUCAGCUGUUCCUGCAGUGCUUGAACUUGUUCUGCGGUAACCAUUCUGUCCAUCUUUGUUUGCUUCUUAAGAUUGCGCAAAGUAAUGUUGAUUUCAGGAUCAAACUCAAAAGGAAGAUUACCGUGAGAUCUUGUGUUCAUGCGCAACCUACAGAAUCACCACUUAAAAAAAAAACAGAACAGAAAAAAGAAAACGAACAAAAAUAAAAACCUGAAUUACUAUAAAGUCCUAUCGGAAAUAUUAGAGCAAUUUCUAAUCAGUCCCCGACAACGGCGUCAAAAAGUUGAUCACUAAUUUCUUAGCAACAAAUACCGCAACUAACACGGUAUAAUUGUAGCAUAUAUGUAGCAAUCGAGUACCGUAUCCUCAGGGACUGACACAACAAAAUAACUUUAGCUAUUUCCUAAACAAACUAUAACAGUAGACAUGCAAAC
Molecule: long non-coding RNA, 457 nt
Filed under: Salvia miltiorrhiza (redroot sage)
Lineage: Eukaryota; Viridiplantae; Streptophyta; Magnoliopsida; Lamiales; Lamiaceae
Description: long non-coding RNA (SMIL_LNC009149)
Source: RNAcentral